AUUGAACGCUGGCGGCAUGCCUUACACAUGCAAGUCGAACGGCAGCACGGGUGCUUGCACCUGGUGCCGUGUGGCGAACGGGUGAGUAAUACAUCGGAACGUACCUUAUCGUCGGGGAUACCGCACCGAAAGCUCUGCUAAUACCGCCUACGCCCUGAGGGGGAAAGCGGGGGCUCGCUAGCCUUCGCGCGAUUAGAGCGGCCGAUGCCUGAUUAGCUUGUUGGUGGGGUAAAAGCCCACCAAGGCGACGACCAGUAGCUGGGCUGAGAGGACGAUCAGCCACACUGGGACUGAGACACGGCCCAGACUCCUACGGGAGGCAGCAGUGGGGAAUUUUGGACAAUGGGGGCAACCCUGAUCCAGCAAUGCCGCGUGAGUGAAGAAGGCCUUCGGGUUGUAAAGCUCGUUUGUCAGGGAAGAAACACCGGCUCUAACACAGUCCGGGAAUGACGGUACCUGAAGAAUAAGCACCGGCUAACUACGUGCCAGCCGCCGCGGUAA
This 501-nucleotide ribosomal RNA is filed under the name uncultured bacterium. RNAcentral's name for it is "partial 16S ribosomal RNA". It matches the Rfam family "Bacterial small subunit ribosomal RNA", at positions 29 to 523 of the family's 1533-position model. The record is from RNAcentral.